AUGCAUGGUGGCCUAAGGGAAAAACUAAAUCUAAUGUAUGCAUGGUGUCCUGCCCUGCCUGCCUGGCUAGUUCGGGUGCCCUGUGGUGGAGGGGCUGGAGCCGGGCUGCUGCUGGAAGCCGGCGGGCGGCGGGGUCGGGGCGCCCGGGUGGUGGUCCACGGACGACGAGUAGUUGUUGUAGGCCUCGGCGAGGUCCAGGUCGAACUCCUUCUGCUUGAGCACGAGCAGCAUGCGCUGGCCGUCGACGCGCCGGCGCUCGAUCCGCAGCCGCUCGUGCUCCAUGUCCCACUCCUUGGUGGCCUUGAACUGCUCCCACUUGUGGCGCUGCUUCUCCAGCGCGUACUCGCGGACCUCGUACGCCAGCUUCUGCUUCUCCAGCUCCAGCGCGCGCCGCUGCAUCCACUGCCGCAGCUGCUGCUGGUCGCCGCCGGCCUCCGCCGCGGCCAGCUCGCGCUGCAACUGCUGCAUGGCGCACGGCCUCCUGCGGGCGUGCUUGUUCCCGUCCUCUUCUCCGUCUUCUCCGGCCGCAGCCGCGCUGCUCUCGCCGCGACGGCGCUUGUUCUUGUGCCCGCCGUAGUUGUGGAAGCCAUUACUGUCGUCGACGCGGCUCCCGCGGCGGUUGGUGCCCGGCGCCUUCUCCUCCACGUCGUCCAGGUCGUAGUCGUCGUCCUCCUCCUCUUCAGCCUCUUUGCUGCUGAGGACGUCGUCCUCGCUGUCGUCCUCAGAACGCGUGGAGGAAUUCACCAUCGCUACCACCUGGAGGCCGGCAGACGAGUUGGCAGCGCCCGGCACUGCCGCCGGCCGCGGGUGGUGGAAGCAGGCCGCGCCGUCGUCGGUGCCGUGCGAGGCUGCUGCGGCGGCGCCGGGGGGGUUGUGGUAGGUGCACAUCUCGCGGAAGAAGAGGUGCUUGGAGCUGAGCAGCUUGCGCGCCUCCUCCUUGGCCUUGGCGGUGAGCUCGCCCAUGGCGUCGAGCAGCGCGGGGUUCUCGACCACCUUGCACGCCGUGCCGCGGCCGAGCAGGUCGACGACGCGCUUGUAGCGCUUGUUGAGGUCGUUGAACUUGUCCUCGCAUUGCUGCGGCGACACCUUGAAGCCGUUCUCCACCAUCGCCCGGGACACGGACUUCCACUUGCCCUUCUUCUGCUGCGCCGCGGCCUGUGGCCCGUGCCCGCCGUGCGCCGCCGCAGACGCCCCCGCCUUCCCGUGCGAGUGCGACGCCGCCGCCUUGCCUCCUGCAGACACGCCCUCGCCGUCGUCCCCGGCGUUGUAUACCACAGCGAUGAGCAGACGCACCAUCGCGUCCGUCCACUUCAUCCGGGACCACGGGCACCCCGCCGCCCCCGCCCCCGGCUGCUGCAGGACGCCGCCGCCAUUCCCGACGCCGUUGCCCAUCUCCUCCUCUUCAUGCGCCUUGACCACCCUCGACGGCGGCGCCACGUAAGCCGCGUACGGUGGCUGUGGGUGCUGCUGCCUCACCGGCAUGGCCUGGUGGUGCUGGACCUGGAAGCCGCCGUCGCCGCCGUUGCCGUGGUGGAGGUGCUCCGGCGGCUGCUGGAACGAGGAGGCCGCGUGCAUCUGCGGCUGCGGCUGGUGGACGAGAUGCAUCUCCAUGCCCAGCAUCGCCCCCGCAGACCCACGCGCACCCAGCCCUGCUCCGUCAAUCCUCUCCAUCUGCAAAGCCUGGCCACCGGUCUCUGGUUGUCAACUCUUUUUUUCUCUGAGGGACUCUUGUGGUCAACUAUAGGUUUGGCGCUGGCCGGUGGAGAGGAGCGGCGAAUAAAAAGAGGAGCGGGGGCAGACGGCCGCCGCCGGUAUCGGCGCCGAACAGCAGCAGCCGCCUCCGCUAGAGGGAGCGGCACACGCUCUCGGUUUUGUGGGGAGCCCACGGUCGCGCCGAAAACCACCUAG
RNAcentral lists this ribosomal RNA (1908 nucleotides) under Triticum aestivum (bread wheat). Its description in RNAcentral is "partial small subunit ribosomal RNA". The record is from RNAcentral. Lineage: Eukaryota; Viridiplantae; Streptophyta; Magnoliopsida; Poales; Poaceae.